CAGAGGAGCUUGCUCCUUGGGUGACGAGUGGCGGACGGGUGAGUAAUGUCUGGGAAACUGCCCGAUGGAGGGGGAUAACUACUGGAAACGGUAGCUAAUACCGCAUAACGUCGCAAGACCAAAGAGGGGGACCUUCGGGCCUCUUGCCAUCGGAUGUGCCCAGAUGGGAUUAGCUAGUAGGUGGGGUAAUGGCUCACCUAGGCGACGAUCCCUAGCUGGUCUGAGAGGAUGACCAGCCACACUGGAACUGAGACACGGUCCAGACUCCUACGGGAGGCAGCAGUGGGGAAUAUUGCACAAUGGGCGCAAGCCUGAUGCAGCCAUGCCGCGUGUAUGAAGAAGGCCUUCGGGUUGUAAAGUACUUUCAGCGAGGAGGAAGGCGUUGUGGUUAAUAACCGCAGCGAUUGACGUUACUCGCAGAAGAAGCACCGGCUAACUCCGUGCCAGCAGCCGCGGUAAUACGGAGGGUGCAAGCGUUAAUCGGAAUUACUGGGCGUAAAGCGCACGCAGGCGGUCUGUCAAGUCGGAUGUGAAAUCCCCGGGCUCAACCUGGGAACUGCAUCCGAAACUGGCAGGCUAGAGUCUUGUAGAGGGGGGUAGAAUUCCAGGUGUAGCGGUGAAAUGCGUAGAG
This 631-nucleotide ribosomal RNA is filed under the name uncultured Citrobacter sp. RNAcentral's name for it is "bacterial SSU rRNA". It matches the Rfam family "Bacterial small subunit ribosomal RNA", at positions 71 to 695 of the family's 1533-position model. Lineage: Bacteria; Pseudomonadati; Pseudomonadota; Gammaproteobacteria; Enterobacterales; Enterobacteriaceae. The record is from RNAcentral.